ACAUCUGUUUCAGUUCUCUCAGGUCCAUCCUAGGAGCAGAAUUGCUGGAUCUUGGUAAAUCUGUGUUCCCACCAGCAACGCACAGGAGUUCCUGUUUCUCCGCAUCCCCACCUAUACUUGUUACACAGUCAACGGAGAAAUCCCUCCAUUGGACCUGACGCAGUCAAGGCCCCGGAAGUGUUCUGAAGAGUUGAGGAAACUGAAGCUCAGAGACAGGAAGUGCCUUCCUCCAGCUCCUACAGAAAGAACAAGACCCAGCUGGGGUGGGAGCUGGAAAGGAUUGCUGAGACGAUCAAGGACACGAAUGCGCACGAAUAACAAACCUUGUCAUCAUAACAUAACAUUGUAAGAAGGCAAAACAGGAUCUCCUGAAUCAGAAAAGUGAACUCUCGGACAGUAUUCCUACUGUAUUCGAAUGUCAACAAGCCCUUAUGGAGCGCCUGUGGUGUGCUAGGCUCUGCUGUAGGUAGGUUCUGGAGACUGCUGCAGAGAACAAAACGCACGAAAAUCCUCUGACCACGCCCCCAGGUCCUCUCCCCGCCCCCUCUUUUCCCAGCCUACCAGAAAGGGGUGGGGGUGGGGCUUACCUACAUAUUCGUGAGUCUAUCAGCCAAUCCGCAGCCUGAAGUCAGGCCUGUCUUUGGAGCAGGGGUGAUUGUGACGUCAGGAGUGACGCAUUCAGUGAUCCUUAAAGGUGCAGUAACCUCCGAUGGAGUAGGGAGUUUGGAACUGACUUGGAACGACACAUACCUGCCUUUCUUUGGCAGUCUGUACAGUGCAGGUUGGGAUGUGCAAGGCAUCGAAACCAGCGCCUACUAGCACCGAAAGAGCGUUGCCAUCGUGGGUGAAGUCCAGAGAUACGUUUGGAGAGCUCAGUCCCUGCCAGGCACUUUACUCCAGUGUCAGGUCCCUGCGCGAACUGAAGUUUCAGCACCGGGGGUCGCGGACAGCUCCAGGGCCCAACCAGAGCGCGCUGUGUGGGUGGGUGUGCGGUGUGUAGAGGGUUCUGGCGACGGGGCCCAGAAAGAGCCCCAGGUCCUCAGCCAGCCCACUGGAACAAGGCCGCCUACUCUCUGCCUGUCUGUCCCCCCAUCAAAGCCUCAGAG
Camelus dromedarius (Arabian camel) is the source of this 1106-nucleotide long non-coding RNA. RefSeq lists it as uncharacterized. The transcript has 3 exons. The record is from RefSeq and is a predicted model, not a curated record. Lineage: Eukaryota; Metazoa; Chordata; Mammalia; Artiodactyla; Camelidae.